RNAcentral lists this ribosomal RNA (254 nucleotides) under uncultured bacterium. Its description in RNAcentral is "partial 16S ribosomal RNA". It matches the Rfam family "Bacterial small subunit ribosomal RNA", at positions 524 to 776 of the family's 1533-position model. The record is from RNAcentral.
UACGUAGGGGCCUAGCGUUGUCCGGAAUUAUUGGGCGUAAAGAGCUCGUAGGCGGUUCGGCAAGUCGGAUGUGAAAUCUCCACGCUCAACGUGGAGGGGCCAUUCGAAACUGCCGUGACUCGAGUCCGGUAGGGGAGUGUGGAAUUCCCGGUGUAGCGGUGAAAUGCGCAGAUAUCGGGAGGAACACCAGUAGCGAAGGCGGCACUCUGGGCCGGUGCUGACGCUGAGGAGCGAAAGCGUGGGGAGCGAACAGG